GGCCUGUUGAUUAUAAUUUUAGGUCUGACCUGCCCAAUGAAAAUUUUGAAUGGCCGCGGUAUAUUGACCGUGCGAAGGUAGCAUAGUCAUUAGUUUUUUAAUUAAAAGCUCGCAUGAAGGGUUUGAUGAGAAAAAUACUGUCUCUUUUUAAUUUUAUUAGAAUUUUAUUUUUAAGUAAAAAAGCUUAAAUUUAUAUAGAAGACGAGAAGACCCUAUAGAGUUUUAUAUUUGGUUUAUUCUAAAGCUCAGGAAAAAAUGCUUUAAAUUGAAUUGAAUAUUUUGUUGGGGUGAUAGAAAAAUUUACGAAACUUUUUUUUAAAAAAACCAUUAAUUUAUGAGAAAGUGAUCCUAAUGUUUAGAUUAAAAGAAUAAACUACCUUAGGGAUAACAGCGUAAUUUUUUUUAGAGUUCUUAUCGAAAAAAAAGAUUGCGACCUCGAUGUUGGAUUAAAAUAUAUUAUUGGUGAAGAAGCUAAAUAAUUGGGUCUGUUCGACCUUUGAAAUUUUACAUGAUCUGAGUUUAGACCGGUGUGAG
This 534-nucleotide ribosomal RNA is filed under the name Trigonopterus sp. 774 AR-2022a. RNAcentral's name for it is "partial large subunit ribosomal RNA". It matches the Rfam family "Bacterial large subunit ribosomal RNA", at positions 1819 to 2625 of the family's 2925-position model. Lineage: Eukaryota; Metazoa; Arthropoda; Insecta; Coleoptera; Curculionidae. The record is from RNAcentral.